UGGGGAAUUUUGGACAAUGGGCGAAAGCCUGAUCCAGCAAUGCCGCGUGUGUGAAGAAGGCCUUCGGGUUGUAAAGCACUUUUGUCCGGAAAGAAAUCCUUGGCUCUAAUACAGUCGGGGGAUGGCGGUACCGGAAGAAUAAGCACCGGCUAACUACGUGCCAGCAGCCGCGGUAAUACGUAGGGUGCAAGCGUUAAUCGGAAUUACUGGGCGUAAAGCGUGCGCAGGCGGUUUGCUAAGACCGAUGUGAAAUCCCCGGGCUCAACCUGGGAACUGCAUUGGUGACUGGCAGGCUAGAGUAUGGCAGAGGGGGGUAGAAUUCCACGUGUAGCAGUGAAAUGCGUAGAGAUGUGGAGGAAUACCGAUGGCGAAGGCAGCCCCUGGGCCAAUACUGACGCUCAUGCGCGAAAGCGUGGGGAGCAAACAGGAUUAGAUACCCUGGUAGUCCACGCCCUAAACGAUGUCAACUAGUUGUUGGGAUUCAUUCCUUAGUAACGUAGCUAACGCGUGAAGUUGACCGCCUGGGGAGUACGGUCGCAAGAUUAAAACUCAAAUGAAUUGACGGGGUCAUAGCUG
This 576-nucleotide ribosomal RNA is filed under the name uncultured bacterium. RNAcentral describes it as "partial 16S ribosomal RNA". It matches the Rfam family "Bacterial small subunit ribosomal RNA", at positions 355 to 932 of the family's 1533-position model. The record is from RNAcentral.